Molecule: ribosomal RNA, 1392 nt
Filed under: uncultured prokaryote
Description: partial 16S ribosomal RNA
Rfam family: Bacterial small subunit ribosomal RNA
Source: RNAcentral
CAAGUCGAGGGGCAGCAUUUCUAGCUUGCUAGAAGAUGGCGACCGGCGCACGGGUGAGUAACGCGUAUGCAACCUACCUUAUACUGGGGGAUAGCCCAGAGAAAUCUGGAUUAAUACCGCAUAACAAUGUUUUGUCGCAUGGCAGAAUAUUUAAAACUCCGGUGGUAUAAGAUGGGCAUGCGUAGCAUUAGUUAGUUGGUGAGGUAACGGCUCACCAAGACGAUGAUGCUUAGGGGGUCUGAGAGGAUAGUCCCCCACACUGGUACUGAGACACGGACCAGACUCCUACGGGAGGCAGCAGUGAGGAAUAUUGGUCAAUGGGCGCAAGUCUGAACCAGCCAUGUCGCGUGCAGGAUGACGGCCCUAUGGGUUGUAAACUGCUUUUUUUACGGAAUAAUUGUCUCUACGUGUAGAGAUUUGAAUGUACUGUAUGAAUAAGGAUCGGCUAACUCCGUGCCCAGCAGCCGCGGUAAUACGGAGGAUCCAAGCGUUAUCCGGAUUUAUUAGGUUUAAAGGGUCCGCAGGCGGGCUUUUAAGUCAGUGGUGAAAUCCUACAGCUUAACUGUAGAACUGCCAUUGAUACUGUUGUUCUUGAGUACAGUUGAGGUAGGCGGAAUGUGUAGUGUAGCGGUGAAAUGCAUAGAUAUUACACAGAACACCAAUUGCGAAGGCAGCUUACUAAACUAUAACUGACGCUGAUGCACGAAAGCGUGGGUAGCGAACAGGAUUAGAUACCCUUGGUAGUCCGCGCCGUAAACGAUGAUUACUCGUUGUGCACAAUACACCGUGCGUGACCGAGCGAAAGCAUUAAGUAAUCCACCUGGGGAGUACGUUGGCAACAAUGAAACUCAAAGGAAUUGACGGGGGCCCGCACAAGCGGAGGAACAUGUGGUUUAAUUCGAUGAUACGCGAGGAACCUUACCUGGACUUAAAUGCAGAUUGACCGGCUUAGAAAUAGGUCUUCUCUUCGGAGCAAUCUACAAGGUGCUGCAUGGUUGUCGUCAGCUCGUGCCGUGAGGUGUCGGGUUAAGUCCCAUAACGAGCGCAACCCCUAUCGUUAGUUGCUAGCAGGUAAUGCUGAGGACUCUAACGAAACUGCCGGUGUAAACCGAGAGGAAGGUGGGGAUGACGUCAAAUCAGCACGGCCCUUAUGUCCAGGGCUACACACGUGUUACAAUGGCCAGUACAAUGGGCAGCUACCAGGUGACUGGAUGCUAAUCUCCAAAGCUGGUCUCAGUUCGGAUCGAAGUCUGCAACUCGACUUCGUGAAGUUGGAUUCGCUAGUAAUCGUAUAUCAGCAAUGAUACGGUGAAUACGUUCCCGGGCCUUGUACACACCGCCCGUCAAACCAUGGAAGCCGGGGGUGCCUGAAGUACGUUACCGUAAGGAGCG